CACUGCUAUCGGGGUUCGAUUAAGCCAUGCGAGUCGAGAGGGUUCAGACCCUCGGCGCACUGCUCAGUAACACGUGGAUAACCUACCCUGAGGAGGGGGAUAACCCCGGGAAACUGGGGAUAAUACCUCAUAGGUUUCAGAUGCUGGAAUGCUCUGAAACCGAAAUGCUCCGGCGCCUCAGGAUGGAUCUGCGGCCGAUUAGGUUGUUGUUGGGGUAACGGCCCAACAAGCCCGUCAUCGGUACGGGUUGUGAGAGCAAGAGCCCGGAGAUGGAUUCUGAGACACCAAUCCAGGCCCUACGGGGCGCAGCAGGCGCGAAACCUUUACAAUGCGAGCAAUCGUGAUAAGGGAACCCCGAGUGCCUGAAACCAGGCUGUUCAGGUGUUCAAAAAGCACCUGGAGAAAGGGCCGGGCAAGACCGGUGCCAGCCGCCGCGGUAAUACCGGCGGCUCGAGUGGUGGCCGCUAUUAUUGGGCUUAAAGCGUUCGUAGCUGGGUUGUUAAGUCUCUUGGGAAAUCUCACGGCUCAACCGUGAGGCGACUAAGAGAUACUGGCAAUCUUGGGACCGGGAGAGGUGAGAGGUACU
This 586-nucleotide ribosomal RNA is filed under the name uncultured archaeon. Its description in RNAcentral is "bacterial SSU rRNA". It matches the Rfam family "Archaeal small subunit ribosomal RNA", at positions 25 to 619 of the family's 1478-position model. The record is from RNAcentral.